Molecule: non-coding RNA, 114 nt
Organism: Oryzias latipes (Japanese medaka)
Lineage: Eukaryota; Metazoa; Chordata; Actinopteri; Beloniformes; Adrianichthyidae
Source: Rfam
GUUGGGUAUGGAGACAUUUAUCCACAAACCCUGUUGGGCAAGAUCGUAGGGGGACUCUGCUGUAUAGCUGGAGUGCUGGUCAUUGCUCUCCCCAUCCCCAUCAUCGUCAACAAC